GCAGUCGAGCGGUAAGGCCCUUCGGGGUACACGAGCGGCGAACGGGUGAGUAACACGUGGGUGAUCUGCCUUGCACUUCGGGAUAAGCCUGGGAAACUGGGUCUAAUACCGGAUAUGACCUCGGAAUGCAUGUUCUGGGGUGGAAAGAUUUAUCGGUGCGAGAUGGGCCCGCGGCCUAUCAGCUUGUUGGUGAGGUAACGGCUCACCAAGGCGACGACGGGUAGCCGACCUGAGAGGGUGACCGGCCACACUGGGACUGAGACACGGCCCAGACUCCUACGGGAGGCAGCAGUGGGGAAUAUUGCACAAUGGGCGCAAGCCUGAUGCAGCGACGCCGCGUGCGGGAUGACGGCCUUCGGGUUGUAAACCGCUUUUGACAGGGACGAAGCGCAAGUGACUGUACCUGUAGAAUAAGGACCGGCCAACUACGUGCCAGCAGCCGCGGUAAUACGUAGGGUCCGAGCGUUGUCCGGAAUUACUGGGCGUAAAGAGCUUGUAGGCGGUUCGUCGCGUCGUUUGUGAAAACUUGGGGCUCAACCUUAAGCUUGCAGGCGAUACGGGCGGACUAGAGUACUUCAGGGGAGACUGGAAUUCCUGGUGUAGCGGUGAAAUGCGCAGAUAUCAGGAGGAACACCGGUGGCGAAGGCGGGUCUCUGGGAAGUAACUGACGCUGAGAAGCGAAAGCAUGGGUAGCAAACAGGAUUAGAUACCCUGGUAGUCCAUGCCGUAAACGGUGGGUACUAGGUGU
This 748-nucleotide ribosomal RNA is filed under the name Nocardia sp. ET2s10.12. RNAcentral's name for it is "bacterial SSU rRNA". It matches the Rfam family "Bacterial small subunit ribosomal RNA", at positions 57 to 823 of the family's 1533-position model. The record is from RNAcentral. Lineage: Bacteria; Bacillati; Actinomycetota; Actinomycetes; Mycobacteriales; Nocardiaceae.